UACAGAGGUCCCAAGCGUUGUUCGGAUUCAUUGGGCGUAAAGGGUGCGUAGGCGGCGCGGUAAGUCGGGUGUGAAAUCUCGGAGCUUAACUCCGAAACUGCAUUCGAUACUGCCGUGCUUGAGUCCGGGAGAGGGGGGUGGAAUUCCCAGUGUAGCGGUGAAAUGCGUAGAUAUUGGGAGGAACACCGGUGGCGAAGGCGGCAUCCUGGACCAAUACUGACACUGAGGAGCGAAAGCCAGGGGAGCAAACGGG
RNAcentral lists this ribosomal RNA (253 nucleotides) under uncultured bacterium. Its description in RNAcentral is "partial 16S ribosomal RNA". It matches the Rfam family "Bacterial small subunit ribosomal RNA", at positions 524 to 776 of the family's 1533-position model. The record is from RNAcentral.